Molecule: ribosomal RNA, 435 nt
Filed under: uncultured bacterium
Lineage: Bacteria
Description: bacterial SSU rRNA
Rfam family: Bacterial small subunit ribosomal RNA
Source: RNAcentral
AACGCGAAGAACCUUACCAAAUCUUGACAUCCCCCUGACCGGACGGUAAUGUGUCCUUUCCUUCGGGACAGGGGAGACAGGUGGUGCAUGGUUGUCGUCAGCUCGUGUCGUGAGAUGUUGGGUUAAGUCCCGCAACGAGCGCAACCCUUAUCCUAAGUAGCCAGCACGUCAUGGUGGGCACUCUGGGGAGACUGCCGGGGAUAACCCGGAGGAAGGUGGGGACGACGUCAAAUCAUCAUGCCCCUUAUGAUUUGGGCUACACACGUGCUACAAUGGCGUAAACAAAGGGAAGCGAAGCCGCGAGGCGGAGCAAAUCCCAAAAAUAACGCCUCAGUUCGGAUUGUAGUCUGCAACUCGACUACAUGAAGCUGGAAUCGCUAGUAAUCGCAAAUCAGAAUGUUGCGGUGAAUACGUUCCCGGGUCUUGUACACACCG